AUGUUAUUAGUAUAAGUUUAUUAUUUGUCUUUUCCAAAGACAAGAUCUAGUUUUCUAGUUAGCAUA
Molecule: transfer RNA, 66 nt
Filed under: Versteria mustelae
Lineage: Eukaryota; Metazoa; Platyhelminthes; Cestoda; Cyclophyllidea; Taeniidae
Description: tRNA-Gly
Source: RNAcentral